This 253-nucleotide ribosomal RNA is filed under the name uncultured microorganism. RNAcentral's name for it is "partial 16S ribosomal RNA". It matches the Rfam family "Bacterial small subunit ribosomal RNA", at positions 524 to 776 of the family's 1533-position model. The record is from RNAcentral.
UACGUAGGGGGCGAGCGUUACCCGGAUUUACUGGGCGUAAAGGGGGCGUAGGCGGCCGUGAAAGUCCGGUGUGAAAACUCACGGCUCGACCGUGGGACUGCGCUGGAAACUACACGGCUUGAGGACGGUAGAGGGAGACGGAACUGCUGGUGUGGGGGUGAAAUCCGUAGAUAUCAGCAGGAACGCCGGUGGAGAAGUCGGUCUCCUGGGCCGUUCCUGACGCUGAGGCCCGAAAGCUAGGGGAGCAAACCGG